CAAGAGCGUAUAUUAAAGUUGUUGCAGUUAAAAAGCUCGUAGUUGGAUUUCUGGUACAACGCGCCUGGCCCGCUUUAUGUGAGUGCUGGUGCGCGUUUGCCAUCCUUCUAGAAAACGUUUCUACCCUGGCAACGGGGCCGGACUCGCGAUCUAGAUCUUUUACUUUGAAAAAUUAGAGUGUUUAAAGCAGGCUUUUGCUGUGAAUACAUUAGCAUGGAAUAAUAAUCUAGGACUUCGGUUCUAUUUUGUUUGGUUUCUUAGUACUGAAGUAAUGAUUGAUAGGGAUAGUUGGGGGUCGAUUCGUAUUUAACUUAGUCAGAGGUGAAAUUACUUGGAUUUGUUAAAGACGGACUACUGCGAAAGACAUUUGUCCAAGGAUGUUUUCUAUUGAUCAAGAACGAAAGUU
Molecule: ribosomal RNA, 406 nt
Filed under: uncultured eukaryote
Lineage: Eukaryota
Description: bacterial SSU rRNA
Rfam family: Eukaryotic small subunit ribosomal RNA
Source: RNAcentral